Molecule: transfer RNA, 74 nt
Filed under: Ipomoea nil (Japanese morning glory)
Lineage: Eukaryota; Viridiplantae; Streptophyta; Magnoliopsida; Solanales; Convolvulaceae
Rfam family: tRNA
About the family: Transfer RNA (tRNA) molecules are approximately 80 nucleotides in length. Their secondary structure includes four short double-helical elements and three loops (D, anti-codon, and T loops).
Source: Rfam by way of RNAcentral
GGCCUAUUAGCUCAGCUGGUUAGAGUGUCGUGCUAAUAACGCAAAGGUCGCAGGUUCGAGACCUGCAUGGGCCA